UAUUUAUUUAAUUAUUUUUUUUUAUUUUAUAUUUAAUUUUUUAUAAAAAUAAUUUAUUUAUUUUUUGUUUUAGUAUUAUUUAAAAUUAAUUAUUAUUAUUAUAGUUUAUUAGUAUUGUGAAAGAAAUUAAUUUAAAUUUUUAAAAGAAUAUUUUUAGUACCUUUUGUAUCAGGGUUAAUUAAAAUAAAUAAUUUAUUUAUUGUUUUCUCAAAAUUUUCAGAGUUAAAUUUAUUAUUAAUAGUUAUUGUUUUAUAAAUAUUUUAAAAAUAGAUUUAGUUUUAAUAUUUAAUUCGUUGAAAAAUAUUUAGUUAUUUAAGAUUUAAAUUUAAUUUAUAAUUAUAAUAGUUAAUAUUAAUUUAUAUUAUUUAUAUUUUAAAAUUAAAUUAUUUUAGGGAUAAGCUUAAAAUUUAAAUAAAAUUUUGUUUUAGUUUAAUAAUUUAUAGGAAUAGAAAUUUUUAUUUUAAGUUUGUAAAAAUUUAUUAUUAUUUAUUAUUAAAAUUUAUUAUAUAAAUUUAUUUUUUAUAUUAAAUUUUUUAAAUUAAUUAUUAAUUUAUAGUAAUAAUGAUUAAAUUAGUAUAAUUUUUAUUUAUAAAUUAUGAAUUCGGCAAAUUUUAUUUUCAUCUGUUUAACAAAAACAUUGUAUUAAGUUUUAUUUAAUAUAGGAUCUGCUCAAUGAUUUUAAUUAAAUAGCUGCAGUAUUUUGACUGUGCAAAGGUAGCAUAAUAAUUAGUCUUUUAAUUGGGGACUUGAAUGAAAGAUUUGAUGAGAAAUAAACUUUAUUAUUUAUAAAAUUAAAAUUUUAUUUUUAAGUAAAAAAGCUUAAAUUUUUUAAAGGGACGAUAAGACCCUAUAAAACUUUAUAAUUAUAUUUUUUUAUUUUAUUUGUAAAUUUAUUAAAUUUUAAAUUUAUAAUUAUUUUAUUGGGGUGAUAAAAAAAUAUUAAUAACUUUUUUUAAAAUUUUACAUUAAUUAAUGAUUUUUUGAAUUAAAAUUUUUAAUUGAAGGAAAAAGUUACUUUAGGGAUAACAGCGUAAUUAAUUUUUUAAGUUCAAAUUUAAAAAUUAGUUUGCGACCUCGAUGUUGAAUUAAGAAUAUUUUUAGGUGCAAAAUUUUAAAAUUUAGGUCUGUUCGACCUUUAAAUUCUUACAUGAUUUGAGUUCAAACCGGUGUAAGCCAGGUUGGUUCCUAUCUUUUAAUAGUUAAUUUAUUUUAGUACGAAAGGAUUAAAUAAUUAAAUUAAAUUUUUUUUUUUGAAUCAAAUUAAAAAUA
This 1269-nucleotide ribosomal RNA is filed under the name Daktulosphaira vitifoliae (grape phylloxera). Its description in RNAcentral is "large subunit ribosomal RNA". Lineage: Eukaryota; Metazoa; Arthropoda; Insecta; Hemiptera; Phylloxeridae. The record is from RNAcentral.